AACGAACGCUGGCGGCAGGCCUAACACAUGCAAGUCGAACGCUGUAGCAAUACAGAGUGGCAGACGGGUGAGUAACGCGUGGGAACCUUCCCAGUGGCGCGGAAUAGCUCAGGGAAACUUGAGGUAAUACCGCAUAAGCCCCUAGGGGGAAAGAUUUAUCGCCAUUGGAUGGGCCCGCGUCGGAUUAGCUAGUUGGUGAGGUAAUGGCUCACCAAGGCAACGAUCCGUAGCGGUUUGAGAGAAUGACCAGCCACACUGGGACUGAGACACGGCCCAGACUCCUACGGGAGGCAGCAGUGGGGAAUCUUGGACAAUGGGCGCAAGCCUGAUCCAGCCAUGCCGCGUGAGUGACGAAGGCCUUAGGGUUGUAAAGCUCUUUUGCCGGGGACGAUAAUGACGGUACCCGGAGAAUAAGUCCCGGCUAACUUCGUGCCAGCAGCCGCAGUAAU
This 449-nucleotide ribosomal RNA is filed under the name uncultured bacterium. Its description in RNAcentral is "bacterial SSU rRNA". It matches the Rfam family "Bacterial small subunit ribosomal RNA", at positions 29 to 524 of the family's 1533-position model. The record is from RNAcentral.